This 107-nucleotide small nuclear RNA is filed under the name Nannospalax galili (Upper Galilee mountains blind mole rat). Lineage: Eukaryota; Metazoa; Chordata; Mammalia; Rodentia; Spalacidae. The record is from RNAcentral.
GUGCUCGCUUUGGCAGCACAUAUACUAAAAUUGGAACAAUACAGAGAAGAGUAGCAUGGCCCCUGCUCAAGGAUGACACACAAAUUCAUGAAGCGUUCCAUAUUUUU